UACGGAGGAUGCAAGCGUUAUCCGGAAUGAUUGGGCGUAAAGGGUCCGCAGGUGGCAGUGUAAGUCUGCUGUCAAAGAAUGAGGCUUAACCUCAUCAAGGCAGUGGAAACUACACAGCUAGAGUACGGUCGGGGUGGAAGGAAUUCCUGGUGUAGCGGUGAAAUGCGUAGAGAUCAGGAAGAACACCGGUGGCGAAAGCGUUCUGCUAGACCUGUACUGACACUGAGGGACGAAAGCUAGGGGAGCGAAUGGG
Molecule: ribosomal RNA, 253 nt
Filed under: uncultured bacterium
Lineage: Bacteria
Description: partial 16S ribosomal RNA
Rfam family: Bacterial small subunit ribosomal RNA
Source: RNAcentral